CUGCCUUUUCCAGCAUGAGAUUAUUCACUCGACGAUGUCACGACUCCCAAGUCUGAUGUCAUGGUUGUUUCCACAGCAACCAAAUUGAAUCAAGGAAUUAAAAACCAGGAGGAACUCACACAGAAUGGCAACACAACACAGGAGUGCCAUGAAGCAAGCCAUACCCUGCACAUGAUCCAAGAUCUCAACACGCCCAGCUGGUACAGUGCUAGCAUAGCUCAGCGAGGAAUAGCACAGCAUUGGAAACUCAGCACCUUGGCAUUGCACUGCUUUCUGAAUCCUGAUUAAAGGACACAAAAACGUGGUGGCACUGCAGGACUACUCCCGCUGGGGAUUAGGGUAGGGUUGCAGGGAGUGUCUCCUCCCACUGCAGCCCCUGUUUCCAUGCAGCCUCAGGGCACCUGGUGCAACCUCUGCCCACCUACAGGUGCCCAGCAGAGCUGCAGCUCCCCUUGGCCUGUGCAAUAUUCAGUGCUCAGAGACUGUGCUGCUCCUUGCUGGAGGAAGCCUGUAUUGCUAAUGGGAGAGGACAGAAGGAUGCAAGAUGAGCUGCUGUGCCAAGACUGCAUCAUUCUUUUCAGCCUCAGAGGUUUCCCCUAGACCCUCCUGCACUCAUCUUCCUCACCUGCAGGAGAUGCAUGCCUUGCCUUUCACUUGCCACAUGCAUCCUGCUCACUGUGCUUCAGUUUCUGAUGAUGCUGAAUACUCUCUUGCCCAACCCAAAGCCCCAAACCACCCCACUGUCCCACCCCUGUGUGAUACACCCUUUUCAGCACCCCACUGCAAAUGCUGGAGCAAAAAGUCCUGCUCCCCUAGCCAGACUGGGGCGAUCCAUGGCACACAGAGCAGGCAGCCCUCCUCAUAUGAAGGCUGCUUGAAGGAGAGUAUUUUUGCUGUGUCAGCAUCUCUGCUUCUCUAUCCCCUGUGUUUGCUGAUUGCAUCCUUGAAGCGUCACUGUCACGUUAGGUUUUCAGCAUGGAGCUGAGCCCUGAGCUCGGAGGGACAUGGAAAUCUGGGGAGGUCUUCUUCAGCAGAGUGCGAGAGGGGACAAAAAAAAAAGAGAAAGAGAAGGAACAACAUCUGCCUCCUCCUCCUGCCUUCUCCUUCCAUUCAACAGCAAGGCUCUUGCUCGAUUGGUAUGUGAUUGCUGAUGCUGUGAGAAGUGCUUGGGAGCCACCAGGUCAGGAUAAAGAGUCAGCACUGCCUACUCUGGGGCAAGGUGGAGGAACUUGGCAGAACCCCAGGACCUGGCAGCACACUCCUGGCAGUGCAGGAACCGAUGCUCGCACCAAGGAUGUGCCAUUCUCCAAAUCACUGCUGCUCACAGAGCUGCUGAAGAUAAACUUGACCUGUGUUACUGUGUCCAUCCUUUGGGUAUGCUGGAGAAAUCACUCCAGCUCUGUUCAACACCUGGGGCUGCACGUGGACUUCUAAUUAGAUCAAACCGCUGAUGAGAGAUUCGUGUCGAAUUAGCCCAAACAGUUCCAGAAAUCAUCUCUCUGAGGAGUCCAGCAGGCACACUGGGGAGGAUAGUGCUAAAGUUCUUUGGGAAACUGUUCUUUUCAAAGGACUAAAUGAGGAGCUCCCACUGUUUAGUCCCAACAGAUGAUUCUGGUUUUUGAAGAGGACUGAACGCAUUGAUGGGGCUUUCAGCGGAGCCCCUUUCAUGUGAGCACAAAAGGCUCUUUGUAGACCAUGUCAAUACAGUUGUGACUCAGAUGGCCACUGCGGUUGUAAUGUUGUCAGGCAUGUCUCUGGGCAGAAUGGUGUCUUCAUAGCAAGACCGUGUAAUGCCAUCGUUUGCACUGUAAUUUUGAAAUGGAAGCUUCUGGCAAAUGCACCAGCAGGAGCACAGGGGGGUUCGGUGUAAAAGGGUCAAAAUUCAGCUGGAUUACAAAAGCACAAUAGCCAGGACAUUAAAUGUACUUAUUGUUAUUGAACAAGGGGAUUGUGUGUGCGUGUACAUGUAGAAGGAGUGGUUUUUGUGAGAUUUCCCUCAAAAAGGCUGAUACAAGGAGACCCCUGGAGGAUGAACAUAUCCUUUUGGCUUGCCCCUAAACCUGACUAAUUACCCAGCGCCCAAGGCCCAACGCUAAGGGCAAAAAGCCCAGUAGGUCAGGUGAGAGCCCAGCACAAGUAUGCCUAUGGCCAUGGAGAAUGGCUUGCACUCCUAUUCCUGUUUAGAUGCCCACAGAUUUACUGCAGGCUGUGCACGAGGCUAAGGACAGGUUUGGAAGCCAGAUCUGUACUUAAUGGGAAGCUGGGCCAAGAUGCCGAGCAUUUGCCAAACAGCCCUUUGGCCGCUAUGUAAAUCCAUACCCACUGCAAAGUGAAUAAAGCGUUGAGGGAAAAACGAUGCUGGCUUGCA
Molecule: long non-coding RNA, 2368 nt
Organism: Numida meleagris (helmeted guineafowl)
Lineage: Eukaryota; Metazoa; Chordata; Aves; Galliformes; Numididae
Source: Ensembl